This is a small nuclear RNA of Apodemus sylvaticus (European woodmouse), 106 nucleotides long. Lineage: Eukaryota; Metazoa; Chordata; Mammalia; Rodentia; Muridae. The record is from RefSeq and is a predicted model, not a curated record.
AUGCUCAAUGAAACGACAUGUAUAGUAAAAUUGGGACGAUACAGAAGAGAUUAGCAUGGCCAUACACAAAGGUAAUAUGCAAAUUUAUGAAGUGUUUCACAUUUUU